Molecule: ribosomal RNA, 450 nt
Filed under: uncultured bacterium
Lineage: Bacteria
Description: partial 16S ribosomal RNA
Rfam family: Bacterial small subunit ribosomal RNA
Source: RNAcentral
GUGGGGAAUUUUGGACAAUGGGCGAAAGCCUGAUCCAGCCAUGCCGCGUGCAGGAUGAAGGCCUUCGGGUUGUAAACUGCUUUUGUACGGAACGAAACGGUCCGGGUUAAUACCCUGGGCUAAUGACGGUACCGUAAGAAUAAGCACCGGCUAACUACGUGCCAGCAGCCGCGGUAAUACGUAGGGUGCAAGCGUUAAUCGGAAUUACUGGGCGUAAAGCGUGCGCAGGCGGUUUUGUAAGACAGGCGUGAAAUCCACGGGCUCAACCUGGGAGUUGCGCUUGUGACUGCAAGGCUGGAGUGCGGCAGAGGGGGAUGGAAUUCCGCGUGUAGCAGUGAAAUGCGUAGAUAUGCGGAGGAACACCGAUGGCGAAGGCAAUCCCCUGGGCCUGCACUGACGCUCAUGCACGAAAGCGUGGGGAGCAAACAGGAUUAGAAACCCUUGUAGUCC